CUUGGUUCGACAAAGAAUUUGAGUUAUGAGGUCUUUUGCAAAGUGAACUUCUUUCAGGAAAAACGAUGAUCAGGUCUGGAGGUGCUCAUUGUGAGAAUACAAAUAGAAGCAAUCGUAAUGGAGUAGAUUGGCGAAAACAACUGGCUUAUGGUUUCAAGAUCUGUGCGAUGCUACUAAAUUUGGCUCAGAAACUAAUCGCUCAUCAGAUCAACAAUUAUUGUGGCCUCAGUUCAAGUUUGAAUGUCGGCAAGAUAAGGGCUAGUAGCGACUUCAAAGUUUCAGGAGGUAUGAGUACUUCGUAGACUUGAGAAAAACCUGGAGGAGCCUCACUGUUGAGGAGCAGAAAAGUGAGGAGAACUUCAUUGUUGCUGGAAUAGCUGAUCAAACUUAAGCAGGACUAUUUCCUCUGUCAUCUUUGUGUUAUAUUUGGUGGAAAGAUAGAAGGAUGAGACGAUGGGAUGAGAUACUACGUGAUGAAAACGAUGUUGGUGCUUCACUUUCAUUUGACUUUGCUGCUGCAGCAUCACUGUCAUAAAGAAUGUUUCACAUCGGCUGGAAAAACUUUUAUUUAACUGGACACUGCUCAACUGGAAACUUAAGCAGUGAGGGUCAG
Long non-coding RNA from Macrobrachium nipponense, 613 nucleotides. RefSeq lists it as uncharacterized. The transcript is spliced from 4 exons. The record is from RefSeq and is a predicted model, not a curated record. Lineage: Eukaryota; Metazoa; Arthropoda; Malacostraca; Decapoda; Palaemonidae.